CUCGUAGGUGGUUUGUCGCGUCGUUUGUGUAAGCCCGCAGCUUAACUGCGGGACUGCAGGCGAUACGGGCAUAACUUGAGUGCUGUAGGGGAGACUGGAAUUCCUGGUGUAGCGGUGGAAUGCGCAGAUAUCAGGAGGAACACCGAUGGCGAAGGCAGGUCUCUGGGCAGUAACUGACGCUGAGGAGCGAAAGCAUGGGGAGCGAACA
This 208-nucleotide ribosomal RNA is filed under the name uncultured bacterium. RNAcentral's name for it is "partial 16S ribosomal RNA". It matches the Rfam family "Bacterial small subunit ribosomal RNA", at positions 568 to 774 of the family's 1533-position model. The record is from RNAcentral.